AACGAACGCUGGCGGCAUGCCUAACACAUGCAAGUCGAACGAGACCUUCGGGUCUAGUGGCGCACGGGUGCGUAACGCGUGGGAACCUGCCCUUAGGUUCGGAAUAACUCCCCGAAAGGGGUGCUAAUACCGGAUAAUGUCUUCGGACCAAAGAUUUAUCGCCUUUGGAUGGGCCCGCGUUGGAUUAGCUAGUUGGUAGGGUAAAAGCCUACCAAGGCGACGAUCCAUAGCUGGUCUGAGAGGAUGAUCAGCCACACUGGGACUGAGACACGGCCCAGAGUCCAACGGGAGGAAGCAAUGGGGGAUAUUGGACAAUGGGCGAGAGCCUGAUCUAGCAAGGCCACGUGAGUGAGGAAGGACUGAGGGAUGGAAAGCUCUUGUACCCGGGAGCAUGAAGAGAGUGACGUGAGAAUAAGCACCGGCUAAGUCCAUG
RNAcentral lists this ribosomal RNA (433 nucleotides) under uncultured bacterium. RNAcentral's name for it is "partial 16S ribosomal RNA". It matches the Rfam family "Bacterial small subunit ribosomal RNA", at positions 29 to 507 of the family's 1533-position model. The record is from RNAcentral.